ACUCUCACAACACGUCCAUCUCAGCUCAGCCGGGGAAAAGGAGACUCUCACAACAAGUAAAGGAGACUCUCACAACAAGUAAUGUUAUCACUCCACACUGAGGAAGUUAUGGAAAACACUAUUACUGAAUGAGGAAAUCAACAACUGUGGUGUUUCAGGGGUGUGUGUGUGUGUGCGCAUGUGUGUGUGUAUGUGUGUGUGUGUGUGUGUGUGUGUGUGUGUGUGUGUGUGUGUGUGUGUGUGUGUGUGUAAAGCCAUGCAGCAAGUCAACUAAACACUCACCUAAUAUUCGUAUUGCUGUGUGCUCCAGUCCUUUCUCUAUCAGGUGAACCAACACAUGUAGACUACACACACUCUAGAUCAGGUGAACCAACACAUGUAGUCUACACACACUCUAGACUGGUGCCGUAGUGAGGUCACCCUCCCUCCCUUCUGGGUCUCUUACCUCAAAGAAUCGAAACGUUGUAUUAUCUCAAAUUACCUUGUGCCAGUUGUCGGAGCUCAGAGCUCAGAGCUCUCAAAUAAACACAAGACGAUAUAGCGAGUAUAAGAAAAGCAAUAAACUAGUCUAACAGGAUAUAAUGUUGUAUUUCUCGUCCCUUCAUGAAUAGGCACCUUGUCUGAACGGCAGAUUGUUGAGGGUGUAGUCAUAGCUGUACUGUUUGUGUUAUUAUCCUGUGUUAGUAAUGGUUUGUAUCUGUCACUAAGCAGUAGUGAACUAUGAAUGGGGGUGGUGCCUCUCAUCUUGGUUUCAAAUCACCACCACAAUAUCAACAUCACAAUAUCAACUACAACAUCAACUGAGGAACUAAAGGCAGACAGGACAAAGUAACCGACACCCUCUUCAUUGAGUUGAAUUGAGUUCAGGAUAAACAACAGAGGAAAAGUACCUCAAAAUUAUGACUUCAGCUCCUGAUAAACCAGAUUGUGGGCCGAUGGUGGUUACUGUUGGAUUCUUGACGUUGAUCAUUGGAAUCGCUGUUGGAGUGAAACUGAAGGUGGCCACAAAUGCACAACAGCGAUCUGGGAAAUCACAGACUAGAAAAGAAGAGGAGGAGUUAUGGAAAUGAGGUGUUUUUCCUGUAGCUAUAACAACCUGUAUCUGAAGGAGGGCAGAGUACAGGGUUACAUACAUUCCUGCCAUGCCAGUGUCUAAUUGGGUGAAGUCAGCAAACAGCAAUGAUGGCCCUGAUGAAUCAUCUGUGGUUUGUGGUGACUUUAGUGUUAUUCUGGGGUGAAAGGGGUAGGUAUAUAAACAACAACAAAUAUUAGUGAUGGUUAAGGGAUUUUUCAUCAAUAAUGACUAAUUAUGUAUACAUUUCAAUCAGGACUGACUAAUCAGAAUACUAUUAUGUUACUGUAUAGAUGUAUGAAUUUUCUUUUAAUCCUAGUACUGAAUAUAAUGUGUGUAAAUAUAAUCAAGAAUUAGAACAAUGACUGUCUGUUCCUUGGUAGAAAUGAAUUAACUUAUCGUCAGACUGGCUAGAAUGGUUAUCUACACAGGCAGACCUUUGCUCGGUCAUAAAUGAUCUAAAUUAGGAGAGACGAUGUGUGAAGGCUUGAGAACUAUACAGACAUUGUACUGGAAUGGAGGUGAGACGGGGCAGUUCGAAAACUAAUGACGUCAUUUUCAAUUUAUAACCUGUUGUAAAAUGUUUCAUGUUCAGUACUCAGCAGUACGCUGCUGAUUAAUUUUGAGACUGGUCUCUGUCCAUUUUAUGCAAAUAAGAGUCUUACAAAUUAUUAGGAAUGGACAGAGUGUUGAAUUUAAUUGGGUAUUAAAACAUGUAGGAAUUAAAUUCCUGCAACAGUGAUAUAGCCAUUUAUUCUUGAAUAGUCAAUCUCAUAAUUGCAUCAUGGAGUCGAUUCAGACUUUAGUAAAUGUAUCCCUUUUUUUGCGCGUUUUGAUUUAAGCACCUCUUAGUAUUUGUUAUUCAGACUUACCUAAUGCAGGUGUGUAACAAGGUUUACAGGUGUGGCUCCCUUGCGCAUACUGAAUACAUUCAAUUCAUUCCCAGAAAACACACCAACUGGGUGGCCUACCAACUUGAUGAGGGUUUUUCUUGAAUGUUGUGUUCUGUUUAUUUAUGUAAACCAAUCCCUUUAGAUACUGUGGACAAUUAAUUAGAAUUUCAUAUGGCACAAUAUUAGAAUGUAGUCUAUGGAGAAUGCAUUCAGAAUGGAGACCAAUGAAAGGUAGCCAUCAAAACAACUGACACAUGCUUCUGCACAACGCAUCACCCUACAUUACUCACCUCAUAUAUACUGUACUCUAUACCAUCUACUGCAUCUUGCCUAUGCCGUUCGGCCAUCGCUUAUCUAUAUAUAUUUAUGUACAUAUUCUUAUUCAUUCCUUUACACUUGUGUGUAUAAGGUAGUUGUUGUGAAAUUGUUAGAUAUUACUGCACGGUCGGAACUAGAAGCACAAGCAUUUCGCAACACUUGCAUUAACAUCUGCUGACCAUGUGUAUAUGACAAAGAAAAUGUAUUUGGAUUUGAUUACAUUUGGUACAACUGUCAUUGAUGCUUUGCAUCGUCAUCAGUCAGUUCACGUCUAGUUUUGAUUUACGUUUGAUCAAGUUGUCAACUAACUGUGAAUUUGACGUGAAAUCAAAAAACAAAUGCCAUCAUGUCAUUCGAUUUAAGUUAGAAGUUGGGUGAAAAAAACAAUAACAUGCCC
Oncorhynchus tshawytscha (Chinook salmon) is the source of this 2680-nucleotide long non-coding RNA. Lineage: Eukaryota; Metazoa; Chordata; Actinopteri; Salmoniformes; Salmonidae. The record is from Ensembl.